GAUGAAGAACGUAGCGAAAUGCGAUAAGUAGUGUGAAUUGCAGAAUUCAGUGAAUCAUCGAAUCUUUGAACGCACAUUGCGCCCCUCGGUAUUCCGUGGGGCAUGCCUGUUCGAGCGUCAUCUACACCCUCAAGCUCUGCUUGGUGUUGGGCGUCUGUCCCGCCUCCGCGCGUGGACUCGCCCCAAAUUCAUUGGCAGCGGUCCUUGCCUCCUCUCGCGCAGCACAUUGCGCUUCUCGAGGGGCUACGGCUCGCGUCCAACAAGCACAUUUACCGUCUUUGACCUCGGAUCAGGUAGGGAUACCCGCUGAACUUAAGCAUAUCAAUAACGGAGGA
Molecule: unclassified non-coding RNA, 335 nt
Filed under: soil metagenome
Description: partial contains 5.8S ribosomal RNA, internal transcribed spacer 2, and large subunit ribosomal RNA
Rfam family: 5.8S ribosomal RNA (bases 1-120)
Source: RNAcentral